AAAAUCAGUUCUCCAUCACUUCAUGUGGGCAUAUCUUCAUUUCUUGGCUCUGAACUGCUGCCUGCUGCUGACAAGCUGGUGAGGUUACAGAACACAGUCUGGGAUUGUGCAGCGGCAGAUUUUGUGCAUUUGAGGACAAACGUAUGACACUCUGCGGCCAGGAGAGGGCCACCAAGACCUGACAGUUUCAUGACUAGAAAACUCUGAUAAUGGACACAUCUCCAGGCUAUUUUCUCAUGGAUUUGAGUAUUAUUUCCAGGAAUAAACUCACUGACACUUGAUGUCACAACAUUUUUACUCRGUCUUAUAGAUAAUGUUUUCAAAAG
Long non-coding RNA from Nothoprocta perdicaria, 326 nucleotides. RefSeq lists it as uncharacterized. The record is from RefSeq and is a predicted model, not a curated record. The transcript has 3 exons. Lineage: Eukaryota; Metazoa; Chordata; Aves; Tinamiformes; Tinamidae.